GAUGAACGCUGGCGGCGUGCUUAACACAUGCAAGUCGAACGGUGAAGCCAAGCUUGCUUGGUGGAUCAGUGGCGAACGGGUGAGUAACACGUGAGCAACCUGCCCUGGACUCUGGGAUAAGCGCUGGAAACGGCGUCUAAUACUGGAUAUGAGCCUCUUCCGCAUGGUGGGGGUUGGAAAGAUUUUUUGGUCUGGGAUGGGCUCGCGGCCUAUCAGCUUGUUGGUGAGGUAAUGGCUCACCAAGGCGUCGACGGGUAGCCGGCCUGAGAGGGUGACCGGCCACACUGGGACUGAGACACGGCCCAGACUCCUACGGGAGGCAGCAGUGGGGAAUAUUGCACAAUGGGCGAAAGCCUGAUGCAGCAACGCCGCGUGAGGGAUGACGGCCUUCGGGUUGUAAACCUCUUUUAGCAGGGAAGAAGCGAAAGUGACGGUACCUGCAGAAAAAACGCCGGCUAACUACGU
Molecule: ribosomal RNA, 465 nt
Filed under: uncultured bacterium
Lineage: Bacteria
Description: partial 16S ribosomal RNA
Rfam family: Bacterial small subunit ribosomal RNA
Source: RNAcentral